RNAcentral lists this ribosomal RNA (468 nucleotides) under uncultured bacterium. Its description in RNAcentral is "partial 16S ribosomal RNA". It matches the Rfam family "Bacterial small subunit ribosomal RNA", at positions 28 to 507 of the family's 1533-position model. The record is from RNAcentral.
GACGAACGCUGGCGGCGUGCCUAAUACAUGCAAGUCGAACGGAAAGGCGAUGCGCUUGCUGGGCGCAUGUGAGGGGAACGGGGGUGUGACACGCGUGGAACCCGUCCCUGUCUGUCGGAUAACACUUGGGAAAUGGGGCUAAAAUCCGGUAGAAGAUCCUGCAGCGCGGGGGGGGAUGGAAAAAGUCGGCCGUGCGGGCUGGACUCGAGGCUUAUCCGCUUGAUGGUCGGGUAGUGACUUACCAAGCCUUUGACGGGUAGGCGGCCUGGGAGCUUGGACGGCCACAUUGGGCCUGCGGUACGGCCCAGUCUCCUACGGGAGGCAGCGGUGGGGAAUCUAGCGCAAUGGGCGCACGCCUGAUGCAGCAGCGCCGCGUUCGUGAUGACGGCCUUCGGGUUGUAAACCGCUUUCUCCUGUGCCGAAGCCUGAGUGACGGUAAUGGGUAAGGAAGCACCGGCUAACUACGUG